Molecule: unclassified non-coding RNA, 26 nt
Filed under: Mus musculus (house mouse)
Lineage: Eukaryota; Metazoa; Chordata; Mammalia; Rodentia; Muridae
Description: oocyte_clustered_small_RNA5324
Source: RNAcentral
GGCCCUUGCUUCGUGCUGCUGACCAC